GACCCGUCUUGAAACACGGACCAAGAAGUCUAUCUUGCGCGCAAGUCAAUGGGAGUAGCAAACCCAAAGGCGAAGAUAACACAACUGCGUUAAGUCGUUGCGGGAUUACGGGUGCACCACAGUCCGCAAGGAUUGGCUAGCUGUGCCGACCCUCCAUCCCCGGGUGUUUAGCUGCGGUUCUGUAAUGUCGCGGACCCCCCGCCGGGGUGGGCAUUUGCAGUUCCAACGCGACAUACCGCGAGCGCGUAGGAUGUGACCCGAAAGAUGGUGAACUAUGCCUGAUCAGGUUGAAGUCAGGGGAAACCCUGAUGGAGGACCGAAGCAAUUCUGACGUGCAAAUCGAUUGUCAGAGUUGGGCAUAGGGGCGAAAGACCAAUCGAACCAUCUAGUAGCUGGUUCCUUCCGA
This 406-nucleotide ribosomal RNA is filed under the name Anopheles lesteri. RNAcentral's name for it is "eukaryotic LSU rRNA". It matches the Rfam family "Eukaryotic large subunit ribosomal RNA", at positions 646 to 964 of the family's 3401-position model. The record is from RNAcentral. Lineage: Eukaryota; Metazoa; Arthropoda; Insecta; Diptera; Culicidae.